UAGGGAAUCUUCGGCAAUGGACGAAAGUCCGACCGAGCAACGCCGCGUGAGUGAAGAAGGUUUUCGGAUCGUAAAACUCUGUUGUUAGAGAAGAACAAGGACGUUAGUAACUGAACGUCCCCUGACGGUAUCUAACCAGAAAGCCACGGCUAACUACGUUCCAGCAGCCGCGGUAAUACGUAGGUGGCAAGCGUUGUCCGGAUUUAUUGGGCGUAAAGCGAGCGCAGGCGGUUUCUUAAGUCUGAUGUGAAAGCCCCCGGCUCAACCGGGGAGGGUCAUUGGAAACUGGGAGACUUGAGUGCAGAAGAGGAGAGUGGAAUUCCAUGUGUAGCGGUGAAAUGCGUAGAUAUAUGGAGGAACACCAGUGGCGAAGGCGGCUCUCUGGUCUGUAACUGACGCUGAGGCUCGAAAGCGUGGGGAGCAAACAGG
RNAcentral lists this ribosomal RNA (429 nucleotides) under Chloroflexota bacterium. RNAcentral describes it as "Chloroflexi bacterium partial 16S ribosomal RNA". It matches the Rfam family "Bacterial small subunit ribosomal RNA", at positions 355 to 776 of the family's 1533-position model. The record is from RNAcentral. Lineage: Bacteria; Bacillati; Chloroflexota.